AACGAACGCUGGCGGCAUGCCUAACACAUGCAAGUCGAACGAGACCUUCGGGUCUAGUGGCGCACGGGUGCGUAACGCGUGGGAACCUGCCCUUAGGUUCGGAAUAACUCCCCGAAAGGGGUGCUAAUACCGGAUAAUGUCUUCGGACCAAAGAUUUAUCGCCUUUGGAUGGGCCCGCGUUGGAUUAGCUAGUUGGUAGGGUAAAAGCCUACCAAGGCGACGAUCCAUAGCUGGUCUGAGAGGAUGAUCAGCCACACUGGGACUGAGACACGGCCCAGACUCCUACGGGGGGCAGCAGUGGGGAAUAUUAGACAAGGGGCGAAAGCCUGAUCCAGCAAUGCCGCGUGAGUGAUGAAGGCCGUAGGGUUGUAAAGCUCUUUUACCCGGGAUGAUAAUGACAGUACCGGGAGAAUAAGCUCCGGCUAACUCCGUG
RNAcentral lists this ribosomal RNA (433 nucleotides) under uncultured bacterium. RNAcentral's name for it is "partial 16S ribosomal RNA". It matches the Rfam family "Bacterial small subunit ribosomal RNA", at positions 29 to 507 of the family's 1533-position model. The record is from RNAcentral.